GAUCUUAUGUUAUUUAGUGUUGAUUAGGUGGAUAAUGUUGGGAAGUAUAUGUUUACGAAAAUUUAAAAAAUUAAAUUUUUUUCUCAGGUUCGAAAAGGUAGACUUACUGCCCAUUACAGAGAGAUGUUCGGAGAGCCGGGUAGUCGUUUAGACCCGUCGUCUUCUUCAGCUCCCGGUUCUUCGGGUCAGGAGACUGUCCCCGAGACUCAGUACACUCAGAGAGUCAUUGGAUCUCCUUCUUCUAGUGCAC
RNAcentral lists this long non-coding RNA (250 nucleotides) under Brassica rapa (field mustard). RNAcentral describes it as "long non-coding RNA (BRAP_LNC000171)". Lineage: Eukaryota; Viridiplantae; Streptophyta; Magnoliopsida; Brassicales; Brassicaceae. The record is from RNAcentral.